UUUAGAUGCCUAAAAAUUCUUGUUCGAUCUGGCCACAAUGGAAAAUGUUAUAAAAAACGCUUAUUUUGAGGCGCUCUCAAACUGGAAUAAGUUGAGCAUCUCAUUAUCCCUGACAGAGUUUCCGAAAUUUUCAAUUGAAUGGGAGAAAGCGUAAGUAAGAGAGAGAAAAACUAUCGACAUUCAAGCUUAUCGAAAUAUUAAUAUGUUAAAAGAGAAAUCACGAUACACAAUUUUUUGCAAUAAGAAAAAUUAGUAACAGAAGCUGGGAAAUACGCAAUUUUUUAGUUAAUUUUGGCGUUUCAACAAGUAAGUUCUUAUUUGAUAAAUAUUUACGAAUAAUUCUUUACCUAUAAAUAGAAAUCAAGGCGAUUUUUUUUUAACUAAAACUUUUUUUAUUGCAAAUUAACAAGCCCUGAAAGAAAUGUGUACAUUGAUAAUUUCUUUGGAGAUUGCACCGUUGGCGGCGAAUAUAAAACGUGCUAAGUUUUAUGAAGAUAUCUUGUAAGACACAUAAGGUUUCUAUAUAAGAAACUGAUUUUGAUCGGCUAUCGGUUCGCGAUUAAUUUGUUUUCCCUUCUAAAAAUUGUAAUUUUGUUUACUCAAUACUUCUUGGUGACGCAAAACAAAACUUACAGGACCUUAUGGUGGUUGAUGAAGCCUCACAGCUACGCUCGCUUUUAGAGGAUUCGUAUUCAAUGGAAAAUGGUGUGGCAAAGAACAUAAUUCUGUUAACAUGAGAAAAAGUUAGACAAAAGAAGCCUAGUGUUAUGAAUUUGAAAUUGAUGAUUAAACGUUUAAUCCAACCGCUGCAUGAUGAAAGAGAAACGUUACUAUAUCACCUAUGACAUCGAGAUGGAACAAUGGUUGUGUGAUAAAGGUUUUGAGAGCUAUUCCAACCGCAUUUAAUAAACAUUGAACGACAAGACAUUGCUGGGUGUACGACCGGAAUUGUACAAGCAUUUCGUGCAAGUUAGAAUUUCUAUUAUUUUUACAGAAGAUGUAUUUACUUCAAUA
Bactrocera neohumeralis is the source of this 1014-nucleotide long non-coding RNA. RefSeq lists it as uncharacterized. Lineage: Eukaryota; Metazoa; Arthropoda; Insecta; Diptera; Tephritidae. The transcript is spliced from 3 exons. The record is from RefSeq and is a predicted model, not a curated record.